UGCUUUUAUAGUUGAAGUACAACGAUGGUUUUUCGUACCAUUAGUUAUGGUUGGAGUCCAUGUGAAAGCGA
Molecule: transfer RNA, 71 nt
Filed under: Pseudomonas syringae pv. actinidiae
Lineage: Bacteria; Pseudomonadati; Pseudomonadota; Gammaproteobacteria; Pseudomonadales; Pseudomonadaceae
Description: tRNA-Glu
Rfam family: tRNA
About the family: Transfer RNA (tRNA) molecules are approximately 80 nucleotides in length.
Source: RNAcentral